UACGUAGGGUGCAAGCGUUGUCCGGAAUUAUUGGGCGUAAAGAGCUCGUAGGCGGUUUGUCGCGUCUGCUGUGAAAACUCAGGGCUUAACCCUGAGCCUGCAGUGGGUACGGGCAGACUAGAGUGUGGUAGGGGAGAUCGGAAUUCCUGGUGUAGCGGUGGAAUGCGCAGAUAUCAGGAGGAACACCGGUGGCGAAGGCGGACCUCUGGGCCAUAACUGACGCUGAGGAGCGAAAGCGUGGGGAGCGAACAGG
RNAcentral lists this ribosomal RNA (253 nucleotides) under uncultured bacterium. RNAcentral describes it as "partial 16S ribosomal RNA". It matches the Rfam family "Bacterial small subunit ribosomal RNA", at positions 524 to 776 of the family's 1533-position model. The record is from RNAcentral.